AUUUUACUUUCCCAGGUGGAACAAUUUUUGCAUUAGAUACCUUACUUUGCAUUCAAUAAAAAAAAUAAACUUUUAUUUUUUGUUAUUUUCAAUAUUUUGUUUUGUGGCAAAUCAGAUACACAGUCUCAUAUGUGAGGACUGAAGAACCAGAAAUUAAGAAAGUCCGCAAGCCGGAGCUCACAUUGGCUUCACAUAGUGUUAGGAACUGUCUUCAUUGCUUACAUAAUUAUAAGUUAUGUAAUAUACAUAAUAUUAUAUAUUUUUUAUACUAUAUAGAAUAUAGACUAUAAGUUGUAUUAUAAGUUAUAUAAUACACACACACACACACACACACACACAGACGCAUAUGAGUAGGUACCACUUGCUAAAAUUUCUGCUCUCUUCUCUGAAUUUUAUGCUGGCAAGACAAUGGAACAAUCAAAAAUAUUUUUCCUUUGCAUCCUUCCAGGCUCAAAUAGAAAAUUUCUUAACAAGCACGAGAAAUGAAAUUAGAUAGAUAAAAUCCAAUGAUCUUUAGUCACUUAUUGUUCGUUUCAGGUAGGAGAGUUGCAUGUGCUGGUGGAUUGUUCCUGUGAAAGAACCAGAGACAUCUGCAAGAAUUAAUUUCUCUGCAGGGAAAUUCUGAUUACUAUUAUGAAGUUGAGUUUAUCAUCAGAUGCAAAUGUGCAGUCAAAAAACUUAAAUGCUUUAAUUGCAAUAGAGUAGAUGCACUGACUAUGAGUCACUGAAAGGCUCUAAUGACUUUCUAACCAGAGGGAAUGUCUUGCCACGGAUGCUAUUAAACCAGUCAAGCCAGGUAUCUUGGCCUUUGAUAUGGAGAAAGGCAGGAAAAUUCCCAGAUAUUAAUCUUUCUUCUCCAUUAUCUCCUUAGAAUCUCAACAUGGAAGAACUCAAAUUUAACCUAAAUUAAUUAAAUUGGGGAUGGUACAGCAAAUCACAUAAACUGAAUUAAACAUGUUCAGACACUUGUGUCCUUACUUUGGAAGAAAGAUUAACUAGAUAAAGACCAGUCCAAUUCGAAGUGAACAUUGUGCACACAGUUUUCAUGUGGAUUAAUCCAGCCCACAAUGAAUUCCUACAGGUAUUUUGGAAGGAAUUUCCUGAGCACCUCUAGUGGACAAACCCUAAGGGACAGUCUUUCCACAAGCUCUGGGAUGCUGACUCCUCACCUACAGGAAACACUGGGUUCAGUGAGAAGCCUCUAUCUGAUCACUCUAUCUGAUCAAGCCCCAUACCUGCCAGGUUCAGAGUGCAUCGGAAUGGGAAUCCAAAUCUGUAGUCUAUGGGAGGGAGAUGUUGAACUGGUUUCUUUCAGCUGCUGUCCCAGACAGGAGGAACACAAGAGGUCUGAUAGGUCAAUUGAGAGUUAUAGAGAAAGCAAGUUUUAACCUCUCACCUAAGAAGAUCAACAGGAGAUGCAAUUUGCCUCUGAACUAGAGUUACUAACUUUGAAGACGGAAGCUGGUGGUACACACUUUUCCAAAUACAGGUAACAUCCAGCUGCUGAACACUAAAGAGAAUUUUCCUGUUUCUUCAUACAUAAAUAUCUUGGUUUUAUUUACACUCCUACCUGUUCUAAAUGUGGAAACAGUAAUGAAAAACCACUCUGUCGAGAAAAGUUACCCUGUGGAAAAAGGUAUGUAAAAAAAUACAUCGUGCCAUAAGAACUUCAUCUCUCUGAAUACAGAAAUGUCUUGAGACUAUUUUAAAUUAUCUGAGUUGAUUAAAAAUAAAUCUAAACUGUAGUGUAAAUAGCAUGAGGAAGGGAGAGGUUGCAACAGAAUUCUGGUUUUGUUUUCUCUGCUUUUGCGUGAUGGCUGGAAGAAGAGAGUGACUGAUCCAGCUACAAGAAACAAAAUUCUCUUCUACCAAGGUCUUUGAAAAGCAAAAGCCUUUGUAUUUUUCUUCACUACCUGCCAUUGUUGUGCUUUUGUUUCUGUCAAUAUAAGCUGAUACGCACAUCAGUGAAAACACAGGAAAAAAGUUUCUAAGCAUGAACCAUGCCUAAAAACAAAUAAAUGUAUUGACUUUUGGGGUAGAAUACAUUCUAAAUUACAUGCCUUGAGUAUACAUUAAGCAACUGUAUCAGUUUCAGUAUUCACAAUCCACUGUGAAAUGCAAGAAGACAUGAUCUUAUUGUAUACCUGGAGAAUAUGACUGGCUUGAACUACAGUUCUGUCAAGGUGGCAGAGGAAUGUUCUGUUUCCCAGAGCAGGAAAUUAGCAGACAUCAGAAUAUGUGACUUUUCAUUAGAGGAAAAAAAGAAGAGGCAACUUGCAGAUUACACAAAAAAUAAGCACUUUGCCAUGUAGUUCCAAAAAUACAUUACUGCUGUAACACUUACAAAAUGAGUGGAUUAUUAGCUUCAAGCAACUUGUGCAAUUUAGAGAUCACUGUAUACCAUAUGUAACCAAUCAGAGAUCCCAAAAUGUGUUGUUUACAGCAUUCAUCCAUUAACUAAUUUCCUUGAAAAGUAAAAGCAUCAUGAACAGAAGAAAAUCCAGACCUGUUAAAGCCCAGGUGCUAUCUUAAAAAAGCAGGGGAGAGGAGUUAUAAAAUAAGCUCUAGGUUAUGCCAAAGCAUGAGAAAUUUACUAGGAUUAAUGAAAUCAUGUGAAAAACAUUAUAAAAGCACAUGCUGAAAUGGAAAAUUAAGAACAAUAAAAGCAUAUUUUAACAUGCAUUCAACAUUACAAUUUUUAUUCAAAGUUAAGUAAAUCUGUUUCUAGAGAAACAAGUUGUGUCAAAUAAGACUCAGAUAAAAAUUAUCCUUUCUUUUUUUUGGUUUCAGGUUGCGUGUGAUAAGAUUUAUGGGGUAAUAAUUCCCUUACACCCAGUGCAAAACAAACUUGGGUAUAUGUACAAUGGUAGACAAGAUAUGGAGAUAAUUGCACUUGACAUCUGAGCCUUCUAUCCCAGACUCAUUACCCACUAGUUAUAUUAUAAAACAAAGCUGAAUGCAGUCUGAACAUACACAAUACAGGUUAACAUGAAACUUAUAUAAAUCAAAUGAAAAAUUAUCCAUUUAACAUACACUACUGAAAUUACUGUUCUACAGGUACACAAAUACCAUGAAUUUGCUAAUGAUUAUUCUUUUAUUUAGUUUAGGUCUUCAGUGAACAGAAGCAUUAUUAUUAAAAAUGUUUUGGCCACUCUCAAGGUCCAGCCUCAGGCCAAAACAGUGUUCAUGAGGAGAGCAGAAAGACUUUCUCAUCCUAUUCACCACAAAUAAAACCACUCAUAAUUUGGUGAAGAAAAAAAAAAAAGAAGAAGAAGAAAAACAUGAACUUUGGUACAAAUGCUACAAGAUAAAAAUAAUACAGUUAAUAAAAAACAAGAUGAACACCACUCUUAUUUCUAGGGUGAAUGCCAAGUAAGAUCUUGAAAGUUCUUGAAAUCUGGGACUUCAGUCAAAAUUUAUAAUCUAAAUUCAUGCUGUUAAAAGAACGGCUCAUGUGAAUGAGCCUAGUUCUUGGAUAUUCCUCAAUAACAGAGACCUUCCUCACCAAGUCCUUCUAUUUUCUCUCUUGUGAUGGAUUCUUAAUUAUCUGAGUGAUUUCCAACCUGACGAUGUUGAAGAUGCAUAGAGCAUUUACAGCACAGUCAGUCACAGCAAGGAAAUUGCAAAACAUCCUGCCUGAUUUCUGUAUAUCUUUGAUAAUUUGGAGAGAGAUUACUAGGAGUCAUUGGACUGUAAACAUCGCCUGCCUUCCUAAUUGGAUCUUUGCUGAUGAGCAGAAGAGGAUGAUGGGAAGAGAACAGGUAGAUUUGUGAAAUGAAAUCUCCUGUAGGAGCAAGGAACGUAGACCACCAAUUGCUUGAUAUGAAAUGCGAACACCACUUUGCUAGUAAUGCUUAAAUACAGAAAGGUAUUUCAAUAUUGAAAUGGGCGACCUACCGAAGAAAGGCUUUCAACCCUAGUAUUGAGCAGCAAAAUCAGCCAUCUCAGAAAAAGAAGUUAAAAGGUAUUUAAUAAACAGAGUAGAUUUCUUACUACUUUAAAAGUAAUACAAAUAUUUUCAUUUCUUUCAGAGAAGGUUUCUCAUUUGAUGACUUCUACAUGAAAAACUAAACAGUAACAGAUAAUUUACAUGGACUAAGUCCAGAUUUCCCUAGUCCCUCAGGCAAUCCUGACCCAAGUGGAACCAGAGAGAGAAUCCAGGGGCCAGCUUUGCCUCCUGUGGGUUUAUUCAUGUGCCAGGGAAGCAGGAUUUAGUCCCAUGUGUAACUUGCACUGACAUCUGUGAGAGUCUAGCGGCUGGAAGGGCUGCACACAUAAGCCUUUGUGCACUGUUUCCACUAUGAGAUAUGCAGGAAUACUGAAGCGUACAGAUGUGAACCUGUAAUCAGACUGUUCCGGUUUAAUGACAACCAGCGUUUCCUUCACACUGCAAUAACUUUGUGUUUAAUACGUGGUUAUAGUAUUUCCUUCUUUCCAAAGGCAUGUGAUACUGUUUAUUUCUCUUUGUACAGAAAUAUAUACUAUAGGCUCUAAACCACUAACAGACAGUGUUAACCAGUUAGUUUUGGUUUACAAAGAUUGUUUUGUUUAAACAAAUAGUUCCAGUGAAACUAAAUCCUCAUCUGUAGCCAGUGAUUCCAGCAGGCUCUGGACCAGGCCCUAAAACAGGCGUGGGUUAGAACGAGCUAAUAUAUCAGUCUCACAUCCAGGAGUUGUAGAGGUUGCAGAGACUGAAGUUGCACAGACUUUGUAAUAAAUAUUUACAAAGCAGACAAUGAGUGUUUUAGAUCAAGUAUACAAUUUACCAUAGGGAAUGUAUGUAAUUGUCUGUGACUGUGACCUUUGAUUUCUAAGUCUCCUUUUGUAAGUACAUUCAUAGGUACAUUUUGACCAUCUAUUCCAGAGUACUAAAAAAUGCAGAGGAAAAGUGAUAUUAAUGUUGUAAUGUUGUAAUUUUUUAUGCCAGCAUGUUAGCUGAUUUUGCUGAGGCUUUUUUUUUUUUUUUUCCUAGUGCUACAAAUGAUAAUGGCAUUACAAUUUAAGAAAAACUAUUCAGUCACACAGGUAACACGAGGAACCUCUAACCUCAGUAGUUUAAGCAGCAUU
Columba livia (rock pigeon) is the source of this 5067-nucleotide long non-coding RNA. RefSeq lists it as uncharacterized. Lineage: Eukaryota; Metazoa; Chordata; Aves; Columbiformes; Columbidae. The transcript is spliced from 2 exons. The record is from RefSeq and is a predicted model, not a curated record.